This 320-nucleotide unclassified non-coding RNA is filed under the name uncultured fungus. Its description in RNAcentral is "partial contains small subunit ribosomal RNA, internal transcribed spacer 1, and 5.8S ribosomal RNA". The stretch from base 1 to 73 matches the Rfam family "Eukaryotic small subunit ribosomal RNA", at positions 1759 to 1831 of the family's 1831-position model. Lineage: Eukaryota; Fungi. The record is from RNAcentral.
GCAAACUUGGUCAUUUAGAGGAAGUAAAAGUCGUAACAAGGUUUCCGUAGGUGAACCUGCGGAAGGAUCAUUAGCGAAGCUCGGAACACAUGUCCGGUACUGAUGCUGCCCAGCAAUGGGAUGUGCUCGUCUGGACGUGUGUCCCUUCUCUAUUCCACCCCACUGUGAACCAAGCGUUGUGAGCCGAAGAGAGAUCGGAGGCUUGCGCGCAACACUUAUCAUACCCCAUACGAAGUAACAGAAUGUACCUUGCGUUAACUCGCACAAAUAUAACUUUCAACAACGGAUCUCUUGGCUCUCGCAUCGAUGAAGAACGCAGC